AUGCGACGGAAGUUGGCCGGGUCGGCGGUGAUGUACGUGGUCUGCGGGCGGCGGGACACCCGGGGCUUCCGCUUGGAGACGCGGCCCGUGCAGUGCCGCGCCGCCGCCGCCGCCGAGGCUGGCCUGCAGCUUACGGCGGGCAGCGCGGGCGCGUCGUACGGAGUGCAGGACAGCUCGGACGCGGAGGAGGUGGUGGUCGUGGAGGAGGAAGGGGUCGGGGAGGACGGCGAGGCGGAGGCGCGAGCGAGCGCGGUGGCGAGCGCGUCGUUCUCAAAGGCGGCGGCGGCGGGGGAGAACCAGGCGGCGUAUGGCCAGGGAGCCGGGGCGGGAGCGGGGAGGUGGGACCAGGUGGUGUCAAGGCUCGCGCAGCUGUUGGCCAUGGGAGGGAGAGGGAGUAGCUUUGCUUCCUGGAUUGGGUUUGAAGGUGACUGA
RNAcentral lists this ribosomal RNA (432 nucleotides) under Triticum aestivum (bread wheat). Its description in RNAcentral is "partial small subunit ribosomal RNA". The record is from RNAcentral. Lineage: Eukaryota; Viridiplantae; Streptophyta; Magnoliopsida; Poales; Poaceae.